Molecule: long non-coding RNA, 3189 nt
Organism: Scylla paramamosain (green mud crab)
Lineage: Eukaryota; Metazoa; Arthropoda; Malacostraca; Decapoda; Portunidae
Exons: 8
Source: RefSeq, a predicted model, not a curated record
AGCCAGUCUCACAGCAAUGCCUCGCCGCUCAAGUCACCCUCGAGGCCAGGGAGCGAGAUCAGGGCCAAACGGAGCCACGCGAGGACGCCGUGGCCCCGUGACUCACCGCUUGCCCCCAGUCCGAGACCCAGCAGGAAGGAAAACACGCGGGAAAGCUUUUGUUUUCCCGCUACCGAAGGAAAAGAUGGACAGCAUACAACAGAUGCUUAUUGAAAAAUUUUGGAUUGCUUUAAUGGUGUAUCAGCCGUCAGAGGUGAUAAAUAGUAGUAGUAGUAGUAGUAGUAGUAGUAGUAGUAGUAGUAGUAGUAGUAGUAGUAGUAGUAGUAGUAGUAGUUGUUGUAGUUUGAGCGAGUUAAGUGAGGAGGAGGAGGAGGAGGAGGAAGUGAAGAGGAAAACGAAAGACAAAGAUAAGAAUGAAGGAAAAGAGGAGGAGGAGAAGGAGGAGGAAAUGAAAGAAAAACAAGAGGAGAAGGAAGGAACAGAAAAAGAUGGGGAAGUGAUAGCAAAGGAGAAAGAAAAGGAGGAAGGAGGAAAAGGGGAAGAGAAGGAAAAUAAAGGAAAGGUAGAAGAGGAGAUGGAAGGAAAAGUAAAAGAAAAAGAAGAAGAAAAGAACGAGAGAAAAGGAACAAAAACAGAUGAUGAAAAUAAAACGAACAAAGAUUACGAAGAAAACGAAGAAGAGAAAGAAGAAGACAAAGAAGAGAAGAAAGAAGAAAAAUCAGGAAAAAUAAGAAGCAAUAACAGAAAUAGUAGAAUACCUAUCCUAACUACCACUACUACUACUACUACUACUACUACUAUUACUACUACUACUACUACCACGAAGGGACAAAGAUGCAUAAAAUCAAAAAUUCCAGUUAAGAUACAAGAAAUUAAGGGUUUUGAAGGGAGCAGCGCCCCCCUUGAGGCCUCGGGGGGCGCGGGAGGAGGCGUGGAUGAUGUCUGUCUGGAGGAUUGCGUGAAGGAAGCCGUGUUAGGACUCCUGAAGGAUCUGCCAGAGUCCUUUUUGCAGACUCGAGAACACAAGAGUGAAAUUUUAGGCUCCAUUUCAUCCCUUGCCGAGUCCCUGCCACGCCCUGCCGCCGCCCACGCCUCUGCCCUCGAAGCCCUCCACGCCGCCCACGCCGCCCACGCCCAGACCUGUAACCACAACACCACCACACACCUUAGUCUAUACCUGGGCAUCAAAUCAGCCCUUCGCUUCCUUCACCACCACCACCACCACCAUCACCAUCACCACCUCCUGCAGCGCCUCCUUCAAGAUAUAUGGGACUGUGAGGGAUCCUUCGACAGGCUUCUGCUGGGGCUCCUGGUGGGGGGGCGGAGGAGGAGGGGGGAAGACACCUACUCCUGCUGGUACCACGAGGAGGAUGAAGAGGAAGAGGAAGAGGAGGAAGAGGCGUGGGAACUUCAUGUCAUCCUUGAGAACGUGAGGAAGGUGAAGGGAGUCAGGGUAACCACGAUGCUGAGUGAGCCGCUGUGGUGUUGCGGUUCCCCUCCCCUGGUGGUGGCGGCGCUGGCUGGCUGCCCCUCACUGGUGCUCACUCUGCUACACCACGGCGCGGGCCACCACCACCACCACCACCACCACCACCACCACCAGCAACACAAGAGGAUUAAUAUGAAUGGCGUCUAUCAAGCAGUAAUAUUUUUAAUCCGGAAAUUGUUGGACGAGUGGCGGGGGUCUGAGGAGGGGAGCGGCGCCCCCCCUGCACCUGACCUCCUCACCUGGGCAGGCAACAGCCCCACUGCAAAAUGCCUCAGAUACCUACUCCGGACCAUCACAAGGGUACCACACAAACUACUUCGGGAUCAACUCAACUACUCUGACCCGGCCUCCCUCUUGCCCCCCCACUGCUGCCGAGACCCGCCCCCUCUCCUGCACCUCGCCCGCGUCGCCGUCAGGGAGCUACUGAGGGUUGGAGGGGAGCUGCCGGGGUCUAUAAAUACUCUGGAUCUCCCCGCUCCACUUCGCUGCCGCCUCUCUCUCCUCAGGGAUUAGUAAAAUGUGGUAGGAUAGUCUCGAAGGUUAGGAAGGAUUGUGGUUGUGGUGGUUGUGGUGGUGGUAGCGGGAAGGGGGAGUGGGGUUGUCUGGGAAGUUGUUUUUGUUAUUGUUUUUUUCGUUGUUGUUGUUGUUAUUGUUCUAGUCUUAUUGUUAUUAUCAUUAUUGUUAUUAUUUUUUUUUCAUUAGUUAUUCUGUUCUCUUACUUCUUCUUCUUAGUAUUAUUCAAGUAAUUCUUUUUUAUAUCUGCGUCCUUCUCUCCCCCCCCUCCCCCAUCCCCUCAUGCAAACAGGGGGAGGGGGUUACUGUGGGGAAUCGGAGGUUGGGGGAAGGAAAAAUGAGCAAUAUGGCCGCUCAAAUUGAAAGUCUACGGUGCAAAACUGCCAAAUUUAACUAACAUUUCCUAAAAAAACUGACACCAAUGUAACGUUGCCCCUGAACACCCACUAAGGACACUAACCUAACCUAACCUAACCUAACCUAAGAGCACUAACCUAACCUAACAUAACCUAACCUAACCUAACCUAAUCUAACCUAACCUAACCUAACCUAACCUUACCUAAUCUAACCUAACCUAACCUAACCUAACCUAACCUAACCUAAUCUAACACUAACCUAACCUAACCUAACCUAACCUAACCUAACCUAACCUUACCUAAUCUAAUCUAACCUAACCUAACCUAACCUAACCUAGCCUAAUCUAACACUAACCUAACCUAACCUAACCUAACCUAACCUAACCUAAUCUAACACUAACCUAACCUAACCUAACCUAAUCUAACUUUGCCUGUAAACAAACACACGAACGAAUGAAGUUUAGGUUCAGCUGGAUUUAGUCGCGGCUCAUUCUCGCAGCCAGUGUAGCCAUAUCAGACUCGUAACCCUAAAGAUGUUUACACUCACGUUUCGUUUAGUGAUUUGGGUUUGUUUGUAAGAUUAACCAUAUUUUUUUUUUAUCAUUAUUAUGGAACCUCAAAGAAAUGUAAUGAUAAUGAUAAAUAAGUCGAUAAAAUGCUAAAUUAUCGUUGCUAACCAUUUCAAAAUUUUCCACGGUACAAUGUUGACAGUUUUAGAAUACCCGGCACAUGCAACCUCUCCUACCGAACUCUGUCAAUUUUGUACUGGGUCAGAUUAUUGAAGUUUCCUCAGGGAUAAUGUAUUGAUAAUUAUAAUAAACCCUUUCUUCU